GGGCGCUUGGUUUAGUGGUAUAACGUUCGCUUAGCAGUUAGUUGCGAAAGGUGCUGGGUUCGAUUCCCAGAGUGUCCA
Molecule: transfer RNA, 78 nt
Filed under: Clathrus columnatus
Lineage: Eukaryota; Fungi; Basidiomycota; Agaricomycetes; Phallales; Clathraceae
Description: tRNA-Ala
Rfam family: tRNA
About the family: Transfer RNA (tRNA) molecules are approximately 80 nucleotides in length. Their secondary structure includes four short double-helical elements and three loops (D, anti-codon, and T loops).
Source: RNAcentral